AACCCUGACCGACAUGUUAAGCAACUUACUUGGGACGAAAUGGGAUCGCUUACACUUGGAUCAUCUCAAAAGCAAAGCUCAAUCGUAAUUUUGCUCCCAAUCUACGAUCAACGUCUCGAAGUUUUUUUUUAAUUUUCUAAAAAAUACUUCGUUAAAUAAAAAUAUUGCAGACAUGUUAAAGCUAACUCUUAUCUUGAUUCUCUCUCUGGCUUUAAUUAGCUAUUGCUGCGCAGAGAUUUUUUAAAAUUGAACAACCCUACCUUUUCCGGUCUGUUAAACAACGUGGUUGGGGUUGUGGGAGACGACGUUUCAAACCUGGGUCAAGAACUGAGAAACGUCACAGGAUGGGUGGGAAACAUCACAGACGUGUACCUUGGGUGAAAUUUCUCAAAUUUGUGAAAUUUUCCUCUGGUUCAAAAACGCUGACCGGAAUUUCUAUCUACAUAUUUGCGUCACCUCAUAUUAAGUCAAAAUAUGAUUAAACUGUCUCAAACUGGACUUGUGUCCAGUGAAAAAAAUUGUGUUUUUCAAAAUUGUAAUCUGAAUAUUAAUUUUAUUGAUUGAUUUUACCAUAAAAUCUACCACUUUUUCUAAAUUCCCAGUUUAAUCAUUACAGUAAUUAGUUAAAUAUUAUACAUAUUUAAUCAGAGAAAAUAAAGUCAUCAUUUGUGAAUUUAAUUAUUAUCAAUA
Folsomia candida is the source of this 690-nucleotide long non-coding RNA. RefSeq lists it as uncharacterized. The transcript is spliced from 2 exons. NCBI's taxonomy places the organism in Eukaryota, Metazoa, Arthropoda, Collembola, Entomobryomorpha, Isotomidae. The record is from RefSeq and is a predicted model, not a curated record.